GCUAAAAAUUCCCUUUCAAAUAAGCUAUGAAUAAAUGUAAAUUAAACUGCUGACUUUUAUAAAUUAUUUCAAAAAAAAAUUUUUGUUCAUUUUACUUUGCUCCCAAAUAACCAUUCAUUUUUUUACAUAUUGGUUCCACUUAAUUGGCUUACAGUCAGUGGAAAGAGGCUCAAAAAGUGACCACAGAAAACAGUGUUAUGAACUUUCAAAUAUCCCUGGAGGAUUUUGCUAUCAUCAAUGUCAAAGAAUCUAGAACUUGAUUUCUUGUACAAACAAUCAGAAGACAACAAAACAAAACCCAAACAGAACAGACUAUCCUUCGCUUUGAGAGUUUUCUUCCCUUUCCAUACCAGUUGCUCUUUCAUACUUCCCUAGGCUUUAGACGAACUACAAAUUAAACACAUACAUCAAAAGAUUUAAUGCUAAGAUCCACAGGAGUGAGAACAUGUACCAUUUGUCUUUUUCCAUCUGGGUUAACCUCACUCAGUAUAUUUCCCAGAUCUAAUCAUUUACCUGCAACUUUCAUAAUUCCAUGUUACUUUACUGAUGAAUAAGAUUCCAUUGUAUAAAGGUACCACAUUUUCAUUAUUUGUCUUUCAGGUGCACUUUUAGGCUGUAUGAAAUUCUCAAUUAACAAAAAUAUAAAAACACAAGUGACAAUAAACGGGGUGAUGGCUUUGAAGACGUUAAUUUGACAGGAGAUAAAGAUUAGCAAAGAUCCUGAGAGGAUGGAGCAAACAGAGUUCCUGUGGUGAACCCUAAUCCCCAGAUGCAGUUCAUCUUGAACACAUGUUAAAGAUGCAUUAACUGCCUGGGUGGUAUGAGCUGCCUCUCUCUAUUCUGGAUCACAUCUAUUCAGUCCAUGGUCUCCAAUCAAGAUCACAGUUUGCAUUUAGUUUCCUAGUGAUGGAAAAAUCCAGUAGUGUUUUUUAAAGCAACAAAGCCAUUAAGAGCCAGGAACAAAUGAAACAAAAUUGUAGGUGGAUGUAAAAUAGAUUUUAUCAAUUAGUCAUAUGAGAUUGAGGAACGCGCUACUUAGGCUUUUAAGAGAAGCACUUUGUUGAGUUUUAGAGAUUUUUUUUCAAAGCUUGUCAGUGUGCUAGCCACACACAAUGGGAGGUGGCAAGGGCACUCUUUUCUCCAGUCUCUCUCUUCCUGAUUCUCAGAGCUAGACACAUGGCCCACCCCUUGAACUAGCUCAAGACAAGGCAGAAAGAAACAAAAGGAGUGAAAAAUUCAUAAUUUAGAGAAAGCAGAUUGGGUCAUCUCUUUAAAAAAGUAACUAGAUUCAAAGUCUUGUGAGGCUUCCGGGGUCCUCAUGAACUCUGAUGAGUUUUCGGACCAAGUAAUAAUAAUUCUAGGAUCCUUCAGGGGACCAUUGCUCACUGGCCGCUAGCUCAGCGGGACUAGGUUUCAGUCGUGUCUCUAUUGCUUAAAUAUGAACCAUUUCAAGUACCGCAGGCUCUCCCAAACUGGGUUUCCCCCUAAUGAGAAGUUCUCAGCUGCUCUAUUUCCCUAGAUUAACCCUUUGAACUUACAGUAUGUCAGGUUUGUCUUUUCGUCCUGUGUCCCAAGAGAUAGCAGAUAGCUUGCAAGGUGACCACUGUGCCGUGCCAACAGAGUAUUUAUUAAUAUUAAUCGGCAUCUAGGGUCCACACAGCUAGGGUCCUCCCAACCGAGUGGGCUUUGAGAGACAGAAGACUGAGCAUGACAGUGUGAUAGCCACACAUGAUGGGAGGUGGCAAUGGCACAGUCCCAGCUUGCUGUAACUCUUUCAGACUGCCCCACAUUAGCAGUCCCAUUUCGCAGCACUCCUCUCCCUGUGACCACCCAGUCUCUCUGCAUUCUAGCCACUCCUUCUUGGCAGUAUGCCAACCGCUUUCUCCCCUACAGGCCCUCUCACAAUAUGUUCCCACUGUAGAGCACAGUCUCUUCCUCUAUAUUUGCCUAAGAAAUGUCUGCUCAUUUUGCCUAUUUUAUAGACAAAGGAAAUCCCAACAGGAAAAGUUUGUUUCCCUCCUAGACUUGUUCGGAUAUAUCUCACAGUUUUACCAUCCUGUCGUCCUUUCUUAUUGCAAACGUUUAAUCUGCUUCUUUUACAAGUUGUCUGUUUUGCUCCAUGUGGCCAGGACUGUGUUUAUCUUGCUCACUCCUUAUAGCCUCAGCAAUUUAUACAAUAUCCGGCACAUAGCAUACAGUAGGUGUUGACACACAGGUCCCUCAGCUAUCCAGCCCUAUUGUAUUAUCUGUAUUCUAUACUUGCCCUGAGAUGCCCUUGAGUUUCUGAGUCAGUCUUAGGUUUUGGGCCAAUCUUCUGUUAGUCCUACAUGAACUCAACUAUGUGAUGCUGAUCUAGGUCUUGGGUCUAUCAUUUCUGCCUGUUCCGUAUUGUUAAGAUUCAUUAUACCAUGCAAUUAAAGAGAACAGAGAAAUAA
Long non-coding RNA from Grammomys surdaster, 2435 nucleotides. RefSeq lists it as uncharacterized. The record is from RefSeq and is a predicted model, not a curated record. Lineage: Eukaryota; Metazoa; Chordata; Mammalia; Rodentia; Muridae. The transcript is spliced from 2 exons.